Molecule: ribosomal RNA, 478 nt
Filed under: uncultured bacterium
Lineage: Bacteria
Description: partial 16S ribosomal RNA
Rfam family: Bacterial small subunit ribosomal RNA
Source: RNAcentral
GACGAACGCUGGCGGCGUGCUUAACACAUGCAAGUCGAACGGUAAGGCCCUUCGGGGUACACGAGUGGCGAACGGGUGAGUAACACGUGGGUGAUCUGUCCUGCACUUCGGGAUAAGCCUGGGAAACUGGGUCUAAUACCGGAUAGGACCACUGACUACAUGGGUGGUGGGGGAAAGCUUUUGCGGUGUGGGAUGGGCCCGCGGCCUAUCAGCUUGUUGGUGGGGUGAUGGCCUACCAAGGCGACGACGGGUAGCCGGCCUGCGAGGGGGACCGGCCACACUGGGACUGAGAUACGGCCCAGACUCCUACGGGAGGCAGCAGUGGGGAAUAUUGCACAAUGGGCGCAAGCCUGAUGCAGCGACGCCGCGUGAGGGAUGACGGCCUUCGGGUUGUAAACCUCUUUCAGCACCGACGAAGCGCAAGUGACGGUAGGUGCAGAAGAAGGACCGGCCAACUACGUGCCAGCAGCCGCCGUAA